Molecule: long non-coding RNA, 6715 nt
Organism: Rhincodon typus (whale shark)
Lineage: Eukaryota; Metazoa; Chordata; Chondrichthyes; Orectolobiformes; Rhincodontidae
Exons: 2
Source: RefSeq, a predicted model, not a curated record
CAAAUUACCCUGAAAGCUGGUAAAGUUUGAAACAUGUUGAAGGAGGGAUUCCAAGCAAUAACAAAGAAAUAAACAAAGUGCAGAAUGUUCCAGAUAGAUUAUAAAGGCAAAACCAGAUUAUCUAAGAGCCUGCACAGCAAUCUUGAAGAUCCACUUACCAUGAAUGUGUGAGUGGCCUCCUGUGAUUUCUCUUCUUGUGACUUUACUGUAUGUUAAGAAGAGACCAAGCAACUCUGAAUCAGGCAUGCAUGCUGCUCUGUGAACCAUCACAGCCAAAUUUUAUUCAAACACAAUCUGUAACCUCAUCGCCCAACAUAUCCCCCAUUUUACUAUUACUGCCACAUCAGGGAUUAAUGCUGGCUCAAUGAGCAGUGUAGGAGAGCACAGGACCAAAUAGCAGAAACAGCAUGCAACAGACAGAGCUGAACAAUCCCUCAACCAACAAAUUAGAUCAAAGCUCUCCAGCCAUGUAAAAUGGUGGACUAUUAAAAAAAAACUGACCUGAGGAGGAUGCUUCAUAAAUAUCACCAUCCUCAAUGUGUGCAAAAGGCUGAAGCGUCUACAACUAUAUUCAGCCAAAAAGUGCCAAGUGGAUCAGCCACCACCGCCUCCUCUCCUAGUACCCAGCAUCACACAAUCCGAUCUUUAGCGAAUUUGAUUCACUGUAUAGGGGAUCAAGAAAUAGUUGAAGAUACUGGCUCCUACAAAGGAUAUGGACCGUGACAACAUCCUGACAGUAGAACUGAACACUUAUUCUCCAGAAGUAGCCAUGUCCUAGCCAUGCUGUUCUUGUAUCAGUGGCAUGUAUCUAACAAAGUGAGAAAUUAGCCAGGAAAAUUGUUUAGAAAUUCACUCUUGUCAAUUACUGCCCAAGCAAUCUAUUCCUGACCAUCAGCAAAGCAAUGGAGUUGUCACAUCUGUGCUAUCAAGUGGCAUUUACACAACAAUAACCUGCUCGCAACACUCAGUUUGGGUUCUACCAGAUCCACUCAGAUCGUGACUUCAUUACGUCUUUGUCUAAACAUGGAGAAAAAAACUGAACUCUACAAGUGAGUGUAGAGUGGCAUCAAGACAGCAUUUUAAUCAGUAAGAGAAUCAAGGGUUAUAGGGAUUAUGUAGGAAAGUGGAGUUGAGGAUUAUCAAUUCAACCAUGAUCUCAUUGAAUGUCUGAACAGAUACAAAGGGCCUUCUGCUCCUCCAUCUUAUGGCCCUGUGGCUAACUAAACGACUUUAAAAAGAAAUGCGGCACUAGAUAUUACAAGAUCAGAAGUUAGAACGGAAAAUCAAUAGUUAAAUUAUUCCUUCCCUUCUAUUCCCUGAGUAUACUUCUGUAAGCAUAAACAUGAACAAAGUAUCUCCAUACCGAAAGGGAAUAAACAGAGUUAAUUAUCACAAGGAUUUCUUACACUUUCCUGUUUGGCUAAUUUUAUUAUGAUGGAGAUGAGCUGUUCCCCCACAUGUGAGUUCAGUAGUCCAAAGUACAUGAUUUGGUACAUGGAAUGUGCAGCCUAAAGAGGUGAUGGAGAUAGAUACUGUUGGAACAUUUAAAAAGCAUCUGAAUGAGUACUUAAAAUACCAGGACACUGUAGGCAACAGACCAAGUGCAGGUAAAUGGGAUUAGUGUAGUUUGAUGUUUGUUGGUCAACAUAGACAUGGUGACUUGAAGGGCCUGUUUCCAUGCUCUAUGACUCUAUGAGUCAAUGACUAUGACAAAGGCUUCCUCCACAACGUGCCCUAAUAAAACAUCACCAAGGAAGUGUCAAAGGUGCACUCUGUCAGAUGUGAGCUUCACCCCAAAUUCACACCAUGCCAAUUAAAAAUUAACUGUAGCCUUUUUAACAACUGAAUUAGAAAGAGCUGUUCCAUCUCUACAUGCAAAUAUAUUAACGGAGUAAAGAUUUUGCAAAUAGUUUCUUCAUGAAAACAUGAUAAAAUGAGUUUAUAAGGGAUGACCUGUAAAAGCAUUAUGAAAUGUCACUCUAUUUUACAAGUGGAAACCUUGUCUCCUAUACAUGAGGCUGGAAACACAACUUAUCAGUUUACUGUGCCACAAAUAGGCCAGGAUAGCCAGCUGCCAAUAGUUAAAAAGCAGCAGGAAACACAAGAGGUGAGUGAAAGAGGUUGCAUCUGAGAUUCCAUGUGAACCAUACGUUAUUGUCUCAGAGCUGCCUGUUCAUCAUCUGUGCCAGAGUUGAGGAGGCCUGAUCUGGGGGCCCUGCAGGCAAAACGUAUCCGUGAACAAAUCUGGUUGAUUUAAAGCAGAAACUAAAAUUCAGCACCCCCAUGUUUAUUGUUGGUUGCAGACUGUAUUUCUUAUGAAAUGAUUGUUCUCACAAACAUUAACUCCUUUAAUUGAAAUUGCAAUCUAGUCUAACAACAGUAUUCUUUUUAAAAGUAAGAAGUGUCUAAUUGCUUAAUAGAUCUCCACUGAUUUUAAAAGUUACUUUCAUACUAGCAAGCUAACAGAAACUGAAUGAUGUUUUCUGAAACCCUUCGGGCAAGACAAGGUUAGAGAAUGAUCUCAGGGUGGUUGGAUUCCAUGGGUGCAGAGCGCUCGGUUGCAAAGAAAGAGCUGAAUUGCAGGCCGUUGGAGAGAAACCAGAGAAAUUGGCCAAGUGGUAGCAUUGAUAGGUCCUGAAUUUGGAGGCUUGCAGAAUUUGGGGACAACUGUUGAAGGAGCUGAGAUCUCAUCCAUGGAAGGAGGAUAUUAAGCUAAAUGAUCAGCCAUGAUCAUAAUGAAUGGUGUAGCAAGCUCAAGGGAUCAAAUAGUCUACUUCUGCUCUUAUUUUCUAUAUUUCUAUAUGUUUUUGUGGCUACCUUUUCCCAAAGAUGUCUGUGUGUUUUAAGGAAGUGACCCCUGUGAACUGACGCCAAAUGAUAAUAGUCACCUUCAUGCCUCUUGUUUACUUCUUUGAGAGGUGAAACAUCAGCAUCAGUACCCACCAUUUCCGAUGGAACAACAUCAACCUCUAAGGAUGAGAACUUCCACAAGGGCUGCACAACCCAGCAUGGGCAGGGAAGUAAAUCCAGACCACGAUCACUGCAGUGUCCUAUUCUGAGAAUAUGUGACUACCACCAUUGAAAGUCUGGCAAACGUCAUGAAGGGCAAAACUCAGUAGCUCACUGAAGGGAUAUUUGGCCUGCACUCCAACCUGCAUUCCAUCACCUUGUCUCUGAGUUCAGCUACCAAAAGCCAAGGCAAGAGGGGCAUGGAAUCACAGUCAGGGCUUGGCUGCUCUCAGGAAAGCAGGAACUGCACAGCCAUGAAUAAACUGCUCCAUCACCAUCAGGGAACACCUUUCAGGGCACUUGUGAAAGUGACUGCCUCUUCUUCUACCUCUUCCAUUGGCACAAAUCCCUCUGAGUGCAUUAGUGAUGCGCUGAUUUUGAUGUGGAUGGACUGCAUGCUGUCAAGGGAGGUCUAAUCUCAUUUGGGCUCCUCUGAUUGGCCACUUAGGGUAACAGUACAUUGGCACAAUGUACAGACGGCCCCGGUUUUGAUUAAGUGGGAGCUAACAAGAGAAAAUGGGUGUGGCUAGGAUGUUUUAUAGAUUAAAUUACAAAUUGUUAGUUACGUCUUGGUAUUAUUAGAGAAUCUUGCAUCUCACUGAGAUCCAAUGCAUCCUGUACACCAGCUUGUGCAAUUGGCCAACAAGGCUCAGCUAUGUCAUCAAGAGUCUCAUCCUCUGAUUCCAUACGCUAUCUAAUCCUCCUCAGACAGGGCUUCCCCUCUCUGGGAGCACCAGGUUGAAACGGGCACAACAGAAACAACCAGAGUGAGACUCCAACAGUGGAAUAUUGAUGGGAACUUCUUAACCAGUGGAAACAUCAUAAAAGGCAUGACAGUCAAUAGAUAAUGGUUAAUAUUCAAACAAUGAAUGUUUGCAUUGCAACACCUACAUAGUCUUUUCAGCAGAGAACACAACUGGAAAACUAGCCCAAUCAUAGAUAAUGAAAGAAAUGUGGAUAAUUUUAGAUCCAAAAAGGAGACAUUUAAAGUCGCUUGAAAAAGUAGCAAGCUUGAGGAUUGGGAGCAAUUUAUAAUUCAGCAAAGGAGGACCAAGAAAAUGAUUCAGAAUGAAGAAACAGUGUAUGUGAGUAGAGUUGCAAGGAACAACAAUGCAGACUGUAGGAGUUUUUAUAUAUAUUGGCACUAUAUGAAAAGGAGGGAGGAAGAAAGCUGGAAAUUAUAAAUUGUUUAGCCUAAUAUCAGUAGUAGAGAAAAUGCUGGACUCUAUUAUAAAGAAUGUGGUAACAGGAUACUUCAAAAAUACCAACAGGAUUACAUAAAGUUAAUGUAGAUUUAUUAAACUUAAAUUAUAUUUGACAAAGCUACUGAAUUUUUGAGCAUUUAGUAAGUAGAACAGAUGAGGGAGGACCAGUGGGCGUGGUGUAUUUGGAUUCUCAAAAAGCUUUUGAUAAAGUUCCACAUGAGAGAAUAAUGUGCAAAAUCAAAGCACAUGUUAAUAUAUUGCCUUAGGUUGAGAAUUGGUUAGUAGAGAGGAAACAGAAAUCCAGAGUAAAUUUAUAGAGAUGGAAGGCAGUGAUUCAUAGGGUACUACAGAGAUCAGUGCCCAGACUUCAACUAUUCACAACAUAUACCAAUGAUUUGGAUGAGGGAAUUAAAUAUAAUAUUCCAAGUUUGCUCAUGACACAAAACUAGUUGAGAUUGUGAGUGAUCAGAAAGGGUCUAAAAAUGCCUCAGAGUGACGUAGACAAGUUGAGCAAGUGGGCAAAUGAAUGUCCAGAUGCAGUAUAACAUUGGUAAUUUUGAAGUUGUCCACUAUGAUAAGGAAAUUAAAAUGACAGAAUAUUUCUUAAAUAGUGAUAGAUUGGGAAAUGUAGCUGUACAAAGGGACGUGGGAGUCCUUACACACAGGCCACUAAAAGCAAGUAUGCAGGUACACCAAACAAUUAUGUGUUUUCCUUCAUUGCAAGAGCAUUUGAAUUUAGAAAUAAGGAUGUCUCAUUGCAGUUGUUCAAAUUGCUGUGUGAGACCACUCCUGGAGUGUUUUGUGCAAUUUUAGUCUCCUUAACUAAGAAAAAAAUAGACUUGCCAUUGAAGCAUAACAACAAAGGUUCCCAGAAUGAUUCCUAGGAUGGCAGGUCUGUCACAUAAGAACAGAUGGGUUGACUAAGCUUGCAUUCUCUGGAGUUUAGAAGAACAAGAGGGAAUUUCAUUGAACAAUUUAACAUUCUGACAGGGCUAGACUGAUCAAUGCAAGGGUGAUGCAUUCCCUGGCAAGAGGUCCAGAACAAGGGGGUCACAGUCUCAGGUUAUGUGGGUCAUUUCAGGCUGAGAGGAGGGGAAUUUUCUUCAUUCAGAGGGUGGUGAGCCUGCAGAAUUCUCUAUCACAAAAAGGUUGUGGAGGCAAAGCCACUAAAUAUAUUAAAGAAGUAAAAAAGUGAAUUUCUUGAGGCUAAAGGUGCCAAGGGGUAUGAGGAGAGAGUGAGAUAAUGAUAAAGGAUCAGCCUUGCUCAUGCUGACUGGUGGAGCAGACCCAUUGGGCUGAAUGGCCUUCUAUGUUCCUAUAUUUCUAUUCCAUUUUAGCUGAGCAAUAGUCUCUGAGCAGCGACCCUUAUGGUAUCUCUCCUCAGACUCAGUGUGAGAAUUUCAGAUUGGAGUCUUGAACCAUCUCUUGCUUGCCAGCUAGUGUACACACUUUUGCCUGUUUAUACAAACUACACAUUGAUGGAAGAGUAAGGAACCUCUUCAGUUUAACAAAUGCCCCUGGCUGUCUCCAAGGUCCUUUAAUUGCCAGACAUGUGCAAUCCAAGGUCCCUUAUACUUUCAGCACUGCUGAAAAGUCAGUAAAGCAUCUGGAUCAGUUUGCCUGACUGGAGUUGCCAGUGCUAAAUAAAAUGAAUUGAUGGACAGGACUGAAGAUUGCAUCUGUAAAAUCUUUGCACGGUGAUGAAUCACUGCUGUGAUAUUUUACACAGCUCUCCUGAUGAUGCCUGAAAUGACACAAGAGUGAAAAAUUUCAGGACCAUUGCCACAGGCAUUGGGUUAACUCCAACACAAUCUCUCCAGCCAACAUGUGGCACAAUGAUAAGACUGUCUCUAUGGAGAGACACAGUCUUCUCAGGCACUGAUGCGCUGACAUUCGGAGUUAUGCCAUUCUUUACCAGUAUUCUCUGAUAGCACAACAAUGGCCAUGCCUACCUAUACCUGCUGUUGCUGCCUCUCCACAAGCUCUUGCUGAGUAGCAGGCUCCACACUAUCAUCCUCCUCCAGAAACCUUUUCCCAUUGGACAAUGCUUACAUGGUCCAGAAGCCAAUAAUAGGGUGCAGGUCGAGAGAGUGUGUGUGUGUCAGAGAGAGAGAGAGACAGACAGAGAGAGAGAGAGAGAGAGAGAGAAACAGAUAGAUGGACACAGGCCCAUGUUCAGCAGACAUGUUAGGCAGACUUAGCCACAUCUUUAAAGGCCUCAGGGAAAUAUACCAAUUAAAGCAAUUAGCAUUGAGUGAAUGCACAGAAAUUUGCCAAAAAUAAAACUGAUUACAGCUAUGCUAGCUAAACAGACCUUCAAUGUAGUGAUAGGGGUGACCUUCAUUGAGGUUUGAGAGUCUGUAAGAUUAUUGUUUAGGAUAGAAGAACUGAAUCUUUCUUUCUGAUAUUUAAGAUGCGUUUGUUCCAAUAGUCCUUGUCAAAUAUAGCAUGGUUCAAGUUUUUCAUUUGUGUAAUAAACAUUUAUGUUCUUUCAUUCAAUA